Mastomys coucha (southern multimammate mouse) is the source of this 275-nucleotide long non-coding RNA. RefSeq lists it as uncharacterized. Lineage: Eukaryota; Metazoa; Chordata; Mammalia; Rodentia; Muridae. The record is from RefSeq and is a predicted model, not a curated record. The transcript is spliced from 2 exons.
CUGGUUUCUAUGAACCUUGCAGUGAUGUCCACAGGCCAUGCUCGAGAAGCCUCUUGUCUGUCCUCCAGCCAACCAGGAGCCAGUAAAUUCCACAAGGCACAAGUCAGGCUUCUAGACUUCAGCCACCACAGUGAACUGGGGGGAGAAGAGGAGCGCAAAGAAAAGGAAAGCCAAUCUCCCUGUUCAAGAGCCACUGCGGUGACAAGGCCUGCAUGGAUCUUUCUGAUUUGUUUAAUUCAGAAGCCAUAAGUAAGAAAGAAUCAGAGAAUGCCAAA